UAAAGUAAAAUGUUGAUUUGCGUUUGUUAUAAUUGCUAUAUACUGGAUUAAUAGGAUUUGAUCUUGAUUUCCAUUACCAAAACGAAUGAUUCACUCCGCGUGUUUCCCCGACAAAGCGUCCCUGUAAACCAAAUACGUAAACUCUGCCACAAAAACUUGCUCGAACCAUAUUUCAAACGUAUCUUCCCCACCACCGAACUCGUCUAAAACGUUCCGUUCGACCUACCACCCGGUCGAGCCAGCAAACAGGAACAAAAAGAAACAAAACGGACAACGUAUCCGGCAACGAUACACCGAUUGAUGGCCAUUGUCCUCACACGACUCGAGGUCCGGGACGAUUCUCUUCUCCGCGUGUUCUCUGCACCGGCAAUGAUGUAUGGCGCGACUGCACUUUAGCGACUCAGCCGGUGGAAUUUUGUCCCCCGGGAGCUGGCAGACGUUUAGGAGGAAAAAACAGGCGACAAGGA
Bombus impatiens (common eastern bumble bee) is the source of this 467-nucleotide long non-coding RNA. RefSeq lists it as uncharacterized. The record is from RefSeq and is a predicted model, not a curated record. The transcript has 2 exons. Lineage: Eukaryota; Metazoa; Arthropoda; Insecta; Hymenoptera; Apidae.